AUUGAACGCUGGCGGCAUGCCUUACACAUGCAAGUCGAACGGAUUUUGGGGCUUGCUCCAAAGUUAGUGGCGAACGGGUGAGUAAAGCAUCGGAACGUACCCAGUCGUGGGGGAUAACGUAGCGAAAGUUACGCUAAUACCGCAUACGAUCUGAGGAUGAAAGCGGGGGACCUUCGGGCCUCGCGCGAUUGGAGCGGCCGAUGUCGGAUUAGCUAGUUGGUGAAGUAAAGGCCAACCAAGGCGACGAGCCGUAGCUGGUCUGAGAGGACGACCAGCCACACUGGGACUGAGACACGGCCCAGACUCCUACGGGAGGCAGCAGUGGGGAAUUUUGGACAAUGGGCGAAAGCCUGAUCCAGCCAUGCCGCGUGAGUGAAGAAGGCCUUCGGGUUGUAAAGCUCUUUCAGACGGAAAGAAAUCUCUCGGGUGAUUAUCCCGGGAGGAUGACGGUACCGUAAGAAGAAGCACCGGCUAACUACGUGCCAGCCGCCGCGGUAA
RNAcentral lists this ribosomal RNA (498 nucleotides) under uncultured bacterium. Its description in RNAcentral is "partial 16S ribosomal RNA". It matches the Rfam family "Bacterial small subunit ribosomal RNA", at positions 30 to 523 of the family's 1533-position model. The record is from RNAcentral.